RNAcentral lists this ribosomal RNA (505 nucleotides) under uncultured bacterium. RNAcentral describes it as "partial 16S ribosomal RNA". It matches the Rfam family "Bacterial small subunit ribosomal RNA", at positions 28 to 507 of the family's 1533-position model. The record is from RNAcentral.
GACGAACGCUGGCGGCGUGCCUAAUACAUGCAAGUAGAACGCACAGUUUAUACCGUAGCUUGCUACACCAUAGACUGUGAGUUGCGAACGGGUGAGUAACGCGUAGGUAACCUGCCUGGUAGCGGGGGAUAACUAUUGGAAACGAUAGCUAAUACCGCAUAAUAUUAAUUAUUGCAUGAUAAUUAAUUGAAAGGUGCAAUUGCACCACUACCAGAUGGACCUGCGUUGUAUUAGCUAGUAGGUGAGGUAACGGCUCACCUAGGCGACGAUACAUAGCCGACCUGAGAGGGUGAUCGGCCACACUGGGACUGAGACACGGCCCAGACUCCUACGGGAGGCAGCAAUAGGGAAUCUUCGGCAAUGGACGAAAGUCUGACCGAGCAACGCCGCGUGAGUGAAGAAGGUUUUCGGAUCGUAAAGCUCUGUUGUAAGAGAAGAACGGGUGUGAGAGUGGAAAGUUCACACUGUGACGGUAUCUUACCAGAAAGGGACGGCUAACUACGUG